UUUUAAUUACAGAUCGCAACUCCAGAAAAAUAGUUUCAAACACAUAAAGUACAUUUACGACAAAACCAAUUUGAAUCUGGAAAGGAAAAAAAUAAUAUUCAAUACUAUAAAGAAAACUAAAGACCUGUUUACACUUUAGUUGUGCUCUUUGAACAGUCCUAAGACAGUACCAUGAAACUGAUUCAAACACAACAUAUAGUAGAAAGAGGAAAACCAGCCAAUGACAAUUGCAUUUUCUCUGAAGGUCCCAAGAAUUCUAAAAUACACAUGCAAAAGGAAAUAUUUUAAUUAAGACCCAAAUCACUGAAAUUAACAUACAAAAUACACAAAAAGUCUAAAUUUAGAACCUAUAAUACCUAAAGAGUUGUAGUUUAGGCUAUAGCCGUUAUGCUUUUAAUAGUACACAAUUCCUCUAACGUUGUACACUAAUAUGUUGGGCUCACAUGCAGAGUAUGGCUAAAUCAUAAAGAUGAUAAAACUAAGCCUGCAUGCUCUAAUUAUUCAAAAUAAAUAUGAGCAAUAAAGAACUCCCAAACUAUGCUUAAGCUUUUGCAAAUUCAUAGAGACAACUAGGCUUCAACAAACACAAUGUAUAUACAGUUUUGAUUGGCCUUACAGUAUAUAGACUGUAAGGAACACAAAUUUAAUUUGAUUUGAAAAUUAUUAGCUAUCAAUAAAAUAUACCGAUUCUAUUAAAUUUCUGCUACUUUCUAUUGAGAAUCGAAAAAAUAUCAAGAUGAAAGAAAGAGAAAAUCAAUAAAGGGAAAACACAGAUUAACAGAAAAAAUAAACUUAAUACCCACAUGCACGAAGAAAGAAAGACAAAAAAGCAAAAUCAAAUAAUUGAUAGACAUGAAUUUGUAUGAAAGAGCAAAACUAAAUUAACUUACAUCCAGUUGAUUGAUAAGAUGAGGAAUUGAAGAAAAGCAGAGAGCUUGAUAUGGAGAAGAAAUGGAAUCGGAGCUUGAUUAACCAAAACCAACAAUGGAAUCCAAUUAAUAAUUUUUUGGUUUAAUUUGGUGGAUGAGGUCUAUUACGACACAAAACUAGCAGAGAGUGACACAAUUUAAUUUGGUUAAAGGAUUUGGUUAGAGUGGGCGACGGUUUCUGAAAAUGAGAGAGGGGUUUGGGAAAAAAGAGAUGGAAAGGAUUGAAGAAUAGGAAAAUAUUGGGGUUAGUGGGUGCUAUUUUUUUAGAGGUUUGCGGAGGUUAUAGACACAUAAUAUAUUUUGAGGUUAAAUAAACCCCCUCAAUUUGAUAUAAAUUACGGAGGUUAUGGUAACUCCUGCAAUAAAAC
This 1297-nucleotide long non-coding RNA is filed under the name Nicotiana benthamiana. RNAcentral describes it as "long non-coding RNA (NBEN_LNC004798)". Lineage: Eukaryota; Viridiplantae; Streptophyta; Magnoliopsida; Solanales; Solanaceae. The record is from RNAcentral.